AUCUGAAAUCUUGGCUGCCAUAUUUUCAUCCAAUAGAAUGUUUGAACUCUUCACAUCGCGGUGUAUCACUCUGUGCUGAACACUUGUACCUGUGUGAAGGUAGUCCAGUCCACGUGCAGCCCCAAUGCAAAUCUUGAGGCGUUGCUCCCAUGAUAGAGGAGGUGACGAAGAAACACCUUUCCUAGCCCUCUUAUGCAGAUGAUCAGCGAGGGUUCCACACGGCAUAUAUUCAUAAACAAGGAUCAUCUCAUGACAAUCGUCGCAGUAACCAACGAGAGAGACUAAAUGGCUGUGUUGAAACUUGGAAAGCAUCUCAAUCUCUGUAAGAAAUUCUUUGGGUCCUUGCUUCGACCCGGAUUUCAACCGUUUAAUAGCAACUGUAGUAGCUCCAAAAUCAAUGAUCCCUUUGUAAACCUUCCCAAACCCGCCCUGCCCAAUGACCAAUUCAUCGUGAAAGUUGAAUGUGGCCCACUGGAUAUCACGAAGUGAAAAGCGUCGACAUAAUUUUUGUAAAGACAAUGAUAACUGGUUGGUUUGCUGGGUAAAUUUUGCUUCUUGGAGUUGUUGAAGCUUGUAAACCAAAAUAUUCAAUAGAGUGAUCAGAAUUAUCACUCCAUUCGAAUUUUGUGUCAUUGGAACGGCUGUUGAAGCCGGACUAGGAACUGGGAAGAUUGUUGUUUGUCAAACAAGAAAGUAAUUGUCGGAAAUAUUAUUAACAGGGAGGCAAGGUAGUAGUUUAUAGCAAGAACUAACUUAGAUAAAAAAGAAAGUAACAUAAAUCCCAAUUUAGAAUUUAGAAGAAAAUAUUCCCAAAAAGAAUUCAAGAUCCACAAACAUGAAACUACACAGAGUUGACUUGACUGACUGCUGCAGUCAUCUACCGGAUGCUCAUUCGAGGAACUACUAGUAAAAGACCACAGGUCCACAACUAACGCUAAAGACACUAAUGGCAUACUUGAAAUUUGAAACUUUAGAGUAAACAAAGAAUACUGUAUAAUCAAUCUAUAAACUUAUUACAACUUUGUUAGUAAAUUUUUUAUUUUAUUUUAUUUUAUUUUUACCAACCAAGUGAACUAAAAAACUUUUCCAACGGAGUCACCAUCAAAUUCAAUUCCGACCAAAAAUAAAUUACAGCAGUGACAUAUAUAUAUAUAUAUAUAUAUGUAUAUAUAUAUAUAUAUAUGUAUGUAUUAUGUGCUCUGUGAACUGGUUUAAUAUUUUAUCGAGAAUACCUGUUGGACUUUCUUUGCCUAUGAUAUUUAAAAGCUCCAAGGAUCAGGCCACCUUAUUAUUCGAGUUUAAAGCAGCAGCUGCGAUGGUUGGGUCUUGGAAAUUAUCUAGUUUUAUUAUCUGUAUCUAGGCAACGUAAAUUCAGAUAUAUAGAUUGAUUCCUAAAGCGGAACAGAGGAGGACAGGUAUUAUUUCAAUUAAUAGGGAGGGAGGAGGAGGAGGAGGAGGAGGAGGAGGCGGCGGAAGGAAGUAGGGUGAGCUUUUAUUUUAUUUAAUUCGCCAUUAAUUUCAUGCCUACUCCCUUUACAAACAAGAAUAAUCUGUACUACACAGAAAAUAGUAACUUUGAAAAUUCAACACUACCGGGGAUACAAAUCAGUUAAUGAAUCGUCAUUUAAGGAGAAAUUAGCAGAUUCUUCUUUUUCUGGAUCAAUGCUACUUUGCAUAAAAAAUGCAGGCUCUGAAGGUAAUGCGAGAGUGAGAGAGAAGCUAUUGAGCAUAAGAGCAACUGAAGCCAUGGUAGGUCUCUCAGCUGCAUUUUCUUGUACACAUAGCAACCCAAUGUGGAUACAUCUCAUCAUUUCGCCUAAUGAACCUGAACUGCUUCUUAAUGUUGGAUCUAUAACAUUUGAAGCAGCUCCUGCUCGCCAAUUUUUCCAAGCCUGAAAUGAUAGUACGUAUAAGCUUUCAUGACUUGAGAAUGAUUUGGUUAGUGAUAAAGUUUAAGCAUGUUUGAACUUACAUAGUUUGCAAGGUCCUUUUCAUUCUCCCCAUUUCGGAAAAAAAUGUUCUUCUGACCACUUACUAUUUCCAGAACUAAUACGCCAAAGCUAAACACAUCGGACUUAACUGAGACCUCCCCAUACAUUACGUACUCUGGUGCCAUAUAUCCACUGCAAUGGUUACAUCUCUGUUAAUUGUCAAACUUGAGCCAGCGAACAUAAAACCACUUUUAUCUAAAUGUUUUCAGUAAAAAUGAAAUAAAUAUUGAGAAUUCUCAAGCGCACUAGUCACUAGUUGUAUAAAAUGGUGCAAGACUUACUAGGUUCCCACAAUUUUACUUGUAUUGCCUCGGGUUUCAUCUAGGUCGAACAACCUUGCCAUGCCAACACCUGCAAUUUUGGGAUUCAUCUCUGCAUCUAACAGAACAUUGCUAGAUUUUAGAUCACGAUGAAUAAUCCGUAGCCCAGAAUCUGCAUGAAGGUAAAGAAGUCCCCUAGCAACGCCUCCUAUGAUUUUGUAUCGCCUUUCCCAAUCCAAAUAUGAACUCUUUACUGAAUCUUCAAGAAAGAUCAACCAUAUUGCAUGCUUCAAAGCUCAAUUGUAUUAUAACUUCUAUCUCCGUUUCAAAAUAUAAGAUCACUUGCCUUUGUAUGUUACAAAGACAAAUUAUACAAAAAACAAUUAAUAUUAUAUUUUGGAACAGAGGGAGUAUUUAAUAUUUAUUACAAAAUCUCAGCUUUAAACAUUUUACGAACAUUCUUAUACUUAAAUACUCAUGGAAAUUAAAAGAGGUCAUCCACAAAGAAGGGCAGAGUUAUGUACUCUACCAAAUAUAUAUAUACAGAAGACAGAAUCCUUAUUUUUAGAAGGUAUAUUCAUGUAUUUGAAUUUUUAUUCAUAUAUAUGAUGGUCAUUUCACUAAUGUAAAGAGCACUAUAUAUAUAUAUAUAUAUAUAUGGAGUUUUUAGAAGUAUUGCUUACUGUAGAGGUGAUUAUCUAAGCUUCCAUUCUGCAUGUAUUCAUAAACAAGGAGGAGUUCCUUGUCUUCCUGGCAAUAUCCCAAGAACUUAACAAGAUUGCGAUGACUACAAUUUCCCAAGAAUUCUAUCUCCGUCUGCACCAACAACUUCAAAAACAAAUCUUAGCAAAAUUAAGUAGUCAAGAGAUUCUAUAACUAACUAUCACAUGUUAAAUGUCUCAGUAAUACACAUUACUGAACAUUCUUCAAAUUCUUUUGAGGAUAUACUCUACUUCAUUUCAGAUUGGUUUUCACUCUUCUCUCAUAUGUUCCUCCUUCAAGAUUGCAUAAUAUAACAGCAUUGUUGAAAUUCAUGUGCUCAUUUUCUAUAUGCAACAAUUUCUCUCUCUAAAAUGCUGAAAUUUCUCGACACGUUAAGUUAAGCUCCGAUGUGCUAAUUUCAUAGUAUUUUUUUGCAAACACUCAGCAACUUCAAAAGUCCAAUUUAGAUGCGCAAAGAUCGAUGGACAUAUAUAUAUAUAUAGAGAGAGAGAGUUUCUUUCUCCCAAAGAAAUUUGUUCUUUGUCUGAAUAUAUACUCCAUAAUAAACUGAGUAAGAAAAUAUUAGAAUGCUGAAAGUUAUGAAAGUUAGGUAAUAUAGUUGAUGUGUUCAAACUAGUCUCGUAAAGAACAGAUGUAAGAGUUAAUGAACUUUCCGCCCAUAAAAAAGUUUCAUGGAGGCUCAAACAUCAAAACUUGAGUUACUUCUAGGAAACGUAAUUUUCGACUGAGUCCGAAUAAUUUGUUGAUGUUAGUAGAAAGUCCAUAUUUAUCUCUAUUUAGAUAUUUAAAAAAAUAGGUAAUAUGAAAGGAAAAUUACCUGCCACUCUUCAAAUAUUUGCAUUCUCUUAACGGCAAUGGCCAUUCCAACACCAAACUCUGAUGGGGCGUAGGUUUUCUCAUGGACCCAACCUUCGUAAACUCUUCCAAACCCUCCCUUGCCCAACCUCGUAUCUGGUCUAAAGUGUCUUGUUGCUUUCCUCAACUCAGCUAAUGUGAAAAUUUUCAAAUUUGGGGCCAUAAUCCUGUUAUCGUUGCUUCUUCUGUUCCUUGAAGGCUUUGCAUCGCUAUGUCCUGAAAAAGGGAAGGACAAUCUAGGUAACAUGAUUAUAUGAAAAACUACCACAAACAUACCAAUGAAAACAUAUAGAACCCCAAAUCCUCGUCCAAAGACGAUUUCAGAGUCCUUCGACUCUGCAAAGCCAACUACAUACUUAUUUAAAAGGUUCUUGACAGAGAAUGAAGAAAAUACUCUAGCACAAUUUCCCAAAACCAAAAAUGGUUUGAUUUAUGGAUGUAAUUUUGUUCAGUUGUUGUCCCAUUAAGAAGAGACUUUCUGAGAAAUAGAUUCAUCUCAUCAACCAAUAUAUACGCUAUAUCACUAUAUUAUUGUGAAGGACCCAACCACUCCAAAAUUUCCAUGGUUUCUUAUCCUCUAUUCUUUUUGCUGAUUCUAGAAACUCAAUUGUUAAAAUAUUUUAGCUUCUUAAUGGUACGACUCGAAAUCGUCGCCGGGUCCGUCGCUAAAGGGGAGUGAGCACUGGUGAGUAAGAUAAGGGGUAUACACUUGAUCCUUGAUCUAUAUAUAUAUAUAUAUAUAUAAGAACGCACACGUUGGUAUAUGAAGCGUAUUACCAGAAAACAUCCGAGCUUUGCCGAAAAGAAACAGGCCGAUCUUUUCCGUAAAUUUCAUUCUGGCAGGAGACUGCUCAUCGUGAUGCCCUCCAUCAGCGUCAUUUAUUAUUCCAUCUUCCAAAGAACAAUUUUUAUUCUCUUGGUUGUGAUUAGCAUUCUCCACCUCAACCAUCGGAUAACCUAAAUGAUUAGCAUUCCCCCCAACCAUAGAGGAAUCGACAUGCUCUUGAUUGUAUUUCGUAAUCUGCUCCUCCAACUUAGAAGAACUAGCUUUCACAUUCACUUGGUCACAAUUAGUAAUUGGCGUCUCAACUAAAGUAUAAAUUGUGCCCCUCUCUUGCAAGGCCAAUGCCGACUCUAGACCAACCACAACCUCAGCCAUAGUUGGACGGAGUUUGGGUGCAUUGUGCAAACAUUGGAUCGCAACUCUCACAAAUGCCGCUAGGGAAUUGGGCAAGAUUUUCCCCUUGAUACUGGGAUCAAUUAUCUGCUCCAAGUGUCCUUCUUUGAAGCAGUGUUGCGCCCAUCCAGCUAAACCUCGUUGCUCUUCAUCCAGACUGUUAUCCACUGCCCGUCUUCCACACAAGGCUUCAAAUAACACAACACCCAAACUAUACACAUCAGAUUUCCUAGUCAGUGUGUGAGUUGCGAAAUAGUAUGGAUCCAGAUACCCGGGUGUACCUUUAACAUGGGUGCUUACAUAUGUAGAAAAUGGCUGAUUUGAUGGACCUAUUUUGGACAAUCCAAAGUCUGAAAUCUUGGCUGCCAUAUUUUCAUCUAACAGAAUGUUUGAACUCUUCACAUCGCGGUGUAUCACUCUGUGCUGAACACUUGUGCCUGUGUGAAGGUAGUCCAGUCCACGUGCAGCCCCAAUGCAAAUCUUGAGGCGUUGCUCCCAUGAUAGAGGAGGUGACGAAGUAACACCUUUCCUAGCCCUCUUAUGCAGAUGAUCAGCGAGGGUUCCACACGGCAUAUAUUCAUAAACAAGGAUCAUCU
Molecule: long non-coding RNA, 5602 nt
Filed under: Panax ginseng (ginseng)
Lineage: Eukaryota; Viridiplantae; Streptophyta; Magnoliopsida; Apiales; Araliaceae
Description: long non-coding RNA (PGIN_LNC018000)
Source: RNAcentral